AUACGGAAGGUCCGGGCGUUAUCCGGAUUUAUUGGGUUUAAAGGGAGCGCAGGCGGAGAUGCAAGCGUGACGUCAAAUUUCGGGGCUCAACCCCGUCUCGCGUCGCGAACUGCGUCCCUUGGUUGCGGGAAGGGGAGGCGGAACUCGUGGUGUAGCGGUGAAAUGCAUAGAUAUCACGAAGAACUCCGAUCGCGAAGGCAGCCUUCCGGCCCGUCAACGACGCUCAUGCUCGAAGGUGCGGGUAUCAAACAGGAUUAGAUACCCUGGUAGUCCGCACAGUAAACGAUGGACACCCGCGGUUUGGCCUGUAUGGCUGAGCCGCCAAGCGAAAGCGUUAAGUGUCCCACCUGGGGAGUACGCCGGCAACGGUGAGACUCAAAGGAAUUGACGGGG
RNAcentral lists this ribosomal RNA (393 nucleotides) under uncultured bacterium. Its description in RNAcentral is "partial 16S ribosomal RNA". It matches the Rfam family "Bacterial small subunit ribosomal RNA", at positions 523 to 918 of the family's 1533-position model. The record is from RNAcentral.